Molecule: ribosomal RNA, 427 nt
Filed under: uncultured bacterium
Lineage: Bacteria
Description: partial 16S ribosomal RNA
Rfam family: Bacterial small subunit ribosomal RNA
Source: RNAcentral
GUGGGGAAUAUUGGGCAAUGGGGGCAACCCUGACCCAGCGACGCCGCGUGGGUGAAGAAAUCCCUCGGGAUGUAAAGCCCUGUUGUAUGGGAAGAGCAGAAGACGGUACCAUACGAGGAAGCCCCGGCAAACUACGUGCCAGCAGCCGCGGUAAUACGUAGGGGGCAAGCGUUGUCCGGAAUUACUGGGCGUAAAGCGCACGCAGGCUGAAUUAUAAGUCGGUAGUCAAAUACGGAGGCUCAACUUCCGGAUAUCUAUCGAUACUGUAAAUCUAGAGUAUGUGAGAGGGAAGCGGAAUUCCCGGUGUAGCGGUGAAAUGCGUAGAUAUCGGGAGGAAUACCGAUGGCGAAGGCAGCCAUCUGGCCUAAUACUGACGCUGAGGUACGAAAGCAUGGGGAGCAAACAGGAUUAGAAACCCCUGUAGUCC